GACUCCGACUCCACCGUGAGCUCGCCCCCGGCCUCAUUUCGCAUCUCUUCAUUAUCCUUCAGUCUCCAGCUAGGUUCACGAACUCGGUCGAUUCCUCCAAUGCAGACAACACCAAUCUGGACAAGGAUCGAGACGGAGUUCGGGACCGAGAACGUGACUGUGACAGGGAGAGAGAUAGAGGGCGAGAUCGAGACUGCAAUAGGAAUAAAGACAGAGAGCGAGAGCGAGAGAGAGACCAUGAGCGUGGUCGUCGUGAACGAGAUCGUGAACCGGAUAUGAGAAAUAGAGAUAAGGAUCAAAAGGAGGAGGCUAAGGCUAGGAAGAAGGUAAGGGUUGAGAAAUUGGUUGAGAGAGAGAGGGAGAAGGAACUCGUUUGAUAUGAAGGAAACUUGCUGAGAAGGUUGCAGAUCUGGAUUAUAUGUCGUGGUUCCUGAUGUCUUCCAUGGAGAUCCAUAUAAUUUGAGAAUCAAGAUCGACCUUUAACAAUGGUAUGGUUAAAAGUUUAGUUUUUUCCUGUUGGUUUCAUGAUCCGUUACUUUUGUUAAAACUUGUUGGUUUCUUGUGUUCAUGAGCAUCGUGUUAUAACUGCUAGUGGUGUUGUGUCUGUCAUUGUCUUUGGAGAUAGAGAAAAGCGACCAUUGAUUACUUAUCCUGAUUUGGCCUUAAACCGUAAGUCUGAAGAAUCUCUGUUUUACUGAAUUUGUUAAUGUUUUCGUUGCUUCUUGCCUUAUAGUUUGCUUGUCGUGAUUACUCACAUAAUUUCUCUUUUUUUCUUGUAUCUUCACGAAGAGUUCUUGCAGUUAGGAGCUGCUCCAAUUUUUCCUAAUGACUCAGCCCCUUGUGCUGAAAACUUGGCAGAUCAGAUCCUUGAAUUCUCAACUUUUUCGAUCUUGGUGUUGUGAUGUGUAUGGGAGUGACUGUAGAUGCUUAUGUCCUCACCUUAUUCCCGCUGCAGAAGGAGCUUGAUGAGUAUGAGAAGGAAAUGUCACUCGGGGAGGAGCUGCAAAAGAGUUCUCAGGUUCCUUAUCUUUCCUCUACCAAAUCUUAUAUCUCAAGUUUGCGUAUCUGUACAAAUAGAAUUAUUAGUUUGAAAUAAUGCUUAAUCACAUAUUGUUUGUUUUACAAUUUG
Long non-coding RNA from Arabidopsis lyrata subsp. lyrata, 1129 nucleotides. RefSeq lists it as uncharacterized. The transcript is spliced from 4 exons. NCBI's taxonomy places the organism in Eukaryota, Viridiplantae, Streptophyta, Magnoliopsida, Brassicales, Brassicaceae. The record is from RefSeq and is a predicted model, not a curated record.